AUGCCAAGGCGGCACCGCCCCGCCGUGGCUCGCACUUCCACCCCCAUGGUUGAUGGUCGAAAAUCUAGCGGAAAUUGCCAAAUCGGCCAGAGCGAGAGGCGUGGCAAUCGUCGGAGCGCCCGCUCCAAGCAACCUUCCACCCCCAUGGAGGGGCUAAAACCUAGGAAAAAUUGCCAAAUCGGCCAGAGCGAGGGGCGUGGCAACCAUCGGGCCGCCGGAUCCAAGCAAGCGACGGCCGAGAUCUCCCCAGGGUGCUGCGUGCACUGCCCCGCGGCGGCGGCGGCUCCGGCUCGGACGCAAGGCCGCCCAAAAGCGGAGCAGGAUCGCCCCCGACGCGUCCGUGGGCAAAAUUGGCAGGCCGCGCCCGCGCCGAAGUGGCCCAAACCCCCCCAUAAAUCGCCCGCCGAUUCCAAACACCGCUCCACUCCACCACCCCCUCGCAAGGCCGAGCCACAGAGAGCCGCACCGAAAUCGCGUCCCGUCGUGCAAAGGGAGCGGGGGGUUGGGAGCGGGACAAAUCUCCCUCGUCAGCACCUCCACCACCACCGUCCACCGCCACCCCGCUCUCGCCCCCUCCAGCCUCGCCCCUCGCGUGGGAGGGACGCCGUGUCCUCCUGCCCCCACCGCGCCGCGCGGGGAAACCCUAGCGGCUGCAGAUCUCCGGGCAGGCGCCCCGAUCCGGGCGGCCCGCGCCCCGAUUCGGCCCUCCCGGCGCCUCAAAUGGCGGCGGACGGGGCGGACAGCGACCUUGAGGAGCAACUCAAGGAUGUCGGCGCCCGCCUGCAGGAGGCGCCCGACGACUCCGACGGCCUGCUCAAGCUCCUCUACGACGUCGAGAAAUAUCUGUUGAGAGUGGAGCAAUCACCUGCAGCAAGCACAUUUGCUGCUGUUCGCCCAGCAAUGGAUGCCCUGAUCAAGAACGAACUUUUGACUCACCCUAAUGCCGAGGUCAAACUUGCUAUAGCAUCUUGUAUAUCUGAGGUUACAAGGAUCACUGCACCCGAGGCUCCGUAUGAUGACAAUAUUAUGAGGGAUUUGUUUUCCAUAAUUGUGGGGACUUUUCAGAAUUUAGAUGAUAUUGAGAGCCCGUCCUUUGCAAGGAGGAUUUCAAUUCUCGAGACUGUGGCAAAGGUCCGGUCGUGUGUGGUCAUGUUAGACCUUGAGUUGGAUGAUCUGAUUCUGCAGAUGUUUAACCAUUUUUUCACAACUGUGACAUCAAACCAACCAGAAAUUGUCAUAUCAUCUAUGGUAACAACAAUGAAACUUGUAAUAGAUGAGAGUGAAGAAAUACAGACAGCGCUUGCAUCGUAUCUUCUUCAAAAGGCUAGAAAUGAGGAGAGGGAAACGUCUCCAGCAUCUUUUGAACUUGCAGAGAAGGUGAUCAGCUCAUGUGAAGAUGGGAAGCUAAAACCAAUAUUCCUGCAGUUACUUCAAGUUCAAGGCACUCCCUUGGAUGACUACAGCAAAAUUGUCACGCUGGUUUGUGAAGGUGAUAAGGUUGUCAGGGAAGACAACAAUGUUGAUCCUUCUGGAAAGGACACGGUGGAUGAUGGCAAACUUUCGGAAAGGACUAUUUCUGAUGAACUGCCUCAGGAAUCUUCAAAACUGGAGCAAGAUGGUACUCCGACUACUGCUAUUAGUAGUGGUGCAACUCUGGUUGAUCAUGGUGAGGCUAAUCAAGGACCAUUUUCUCCAAAAGGACAAGCGUCUCCAAAGGGAUCAGCGUCUCCAAAGGGAUCAGCGUCUCCAAAGGGACCAGUGUCUCCAAAAGGACCGGUGUCACCAAAAGGAUCAGCGUCACCAAAAGGGAAGCCUGAACAGCCUGAAGACACAAAAGAUGCUGAUCAGUUGAAAUCUGCUAAUGAUGGUGUAGAACCUGUUGAUGCAAAGCCCAAGAAGCCAUCUGAUCUUGAUUCAGACAAAGACCUGAAGCUCAAACCCUGCAAGUCUGUGGCUACUCCACACUCUAAUGUUGAUGUUGACAAAGAAGCUCAUGUAGUAUCUGGAGAGUUAUCUGCAGACAAGAAGGUAGUCAAUGGAGUGGCUGAUAAUGUACCAAAGCGUGCUGAUACCACACCCGAUGUAGUUAAGCCAAAACGAGGCCGACCUCCUGGACCAAAGUCAUCAGAGAAAAAGGCUGCUAGAAAUAACCAAUCUUCAGAUUUAGAUUUGAAGAAGACUGAGGAGGCUAUGGAUUCAACUGGGAAGUUAACAAAGCGAUCAGCUAAGGAUGAUAUCAAAGCUUCCACAAAAAAGACUGGUGAAGGAGAAUCAUCAAAGAAGCAGCAAAAACCCAGUUUGAAACAGCACAAGGAAGAAGUCCUCUCUGAGGAGGACACCACCAAGGAUAUGACUCUAAAGGAAAUGGUCUCUCCGAAGUCUCUGACCAAGGGGUCAGGUAGAACCAAGGGUCAAAGUGGGGAGAAUAAUGUGGUGAAGAGGAAGCGUGAACAAGAUACUGAAGAGACUCCUCGCUCAAGGAAGGACAAAGGUCUGGAUGGAAGUCUAGUUGGUUCAAGGAUCAAAGUAUGGUGGCCAGACGAUGAGAUGUUUUACAAGGGUGUUGUUGACUCAUUUGAUACCCAUUCCAAAAGGCACAAGGUUGCAUAUGAUGAUGGAGAUGUAGAGGUACUGCUGCUUAGGGAUGAAAAAUGGGAUUUCAUCAGUGAGGAAGAAGGCAAAACUCCUGAUGUACCAUCUGAGCGCCGUGGCCGAAAAGGGAGAGGAAUCACGCUGCUGCCAGUGAAGGAAGAAAAAAUAGAAACACCUAAAAGUGACGGAGUGGAGCUUCCAAAGAAAAGGGGCCGUCCGAAAGGUUGGCGCCCCAACAAUGGUGGCACACCGUCUACAACUCCCAGCAAAUCAAAGGGGAAAACUGCUGUCAAGGAUGCCAAGGGGACACCUAAAACUGCUGUUGAGAUUAAGAAAGAAGGCAAGGAGAAAGCCACUGGAUCAGCUAACAAGACGAAGGAUGAUUUAGCUAAAGACAGCAGCAACCAGAAGCUGAAGGAGGUUGGGAGCAAAUCUGGCGAUGGAUCUGUGAAGGGUAGGCCUGGGCGGAAACCAAAAAGCGCUGCCACUAGUACUCCAGUGGCGGGUAGUGGAUCUGGAUCUGUUCAAGAGAAGCGGAAGGAGAAGGAGGAGAAGGAAGAGGCUGAGGCAUCUGAAAUGGAGCAGGAGGCAUCUGGCAAGGGGGCGUCUUCAACUGGAAAGAAGCGCAGAAGGAAGGCUUAG
RNAcentral lists this ribosomal RNA (3234 nucleotides) under Triticum aestivum (bread wheat). RNAcentral's name for it is "partial small subunit ribosomal RNA". Lineage: Eukaryota; Viridiplantae; Streptophyta; Magnoliopsida; Poales; Poaceae. The record is from RNAcentral.